AGAGUUUGAUCCUGGCUCAGAUUGAACGCUGGCGGCAGGCCUAACACAUGCAAGUCGAGCGGUAGCACAGAGAGCUUGCUCUCGGGUGACGAGCGGCGGACGGGUGAGUAAUGUCUGGGAAACUGCCUGAUGGAGGGGGAUAACUACUGGAAACGGUAGCUAAUACCGCAUAAUGUCGCAAGACCAAAGUGGGGGACCUUCGGGCCUCAUGCCAUCAGAUGUGCCCAGAUGGGAUUAGCUAGUAGGUGGGGUAACGGCUCACCUAGGCGACGAUCCCUAGCUGGUCUGAGAGGAUGACCAGCCACACUGGAACUGAGACACGGUCCAGACUCCUACGGGAGGCAGCAGUGGGGAAUAUUGCACAAUGGGCGCAAGCCUGAUGCAGCCAUGCCGCGUGUGUGAAGAAGGCCUUCGGGUUGUAAAGCACUUUCAGCGGGGAGGAAGGCGGUGAGGUUAAUAACCUCAUCGAUUGACGUUACCCGCAGAAGAAGCACCGGCUAACUCCGUGCCAGCAGCCGCGGUAAUACGGAGGGUGCAAGCGUUAAUCGGAAUUACUGGGCGUAAAGCGCACGCAGGCGGUCUGUCAAGUCGGAUGUGAAAUCCCCGGGCUCAACCUGGGAACUGCAUUCGAAACUGGCAGGCUAGAGUCUUGUAGAGGGGGGUAGAAUUCCAGGUGUAGCGGUGAAAUGCGUAGAGAUCUGGAGGAAUACCGGUGGCGAAGGCGGCCCCCUGGACAAAGACUGACGCUCAGGUGCGAAAGCGUGGGGAGCAAACAGGAUUAGAUACCCUGGUAGUCCACGCCGUAAACGAUGUCGAUUUGGAGGUUGUGCCCUUGAGGCGUGGCUUCCGGAGCUAACGCGUUAAAUCGACCGCCUGGGGAGUACGGCCGCAAGGUUAAAACUCAAAUGAAUUGACGGGGGCCCGCACAAGCGGUGGAGCAUGUGGUUUAAUUCGAUGCAACGCGAAGAACCUUACCUGGUCUUGACAUCCACAGAACUUUCCAGAGAUGGAUUGGUGCCUUCGGGAACUGUGAGACAGGUGCUGCAUGGCUGUCGUCAGCUCGUGUUGUGAAAUGUUGGGUUAAGUCCCGCAACGAGCGCAACCCUUAUCCUUUGUUGCCAGCGGUUAGGCCGGGAACUCAAAGGAGACUGCCAGUGAUAAACUGGAGGAAGGUGGGGAUGACGUCAAGUCAUCAUGGCCCUUACGACCAGGGCUACACACGUGCUACAAUGGCAUAUACAAAGAGAAGCGACCUCGCGAGAGCAAGCGGACCUCAUAAAGUAUGUCGUAGUCCGGAUUGGAGUCUGCAACUCGACUCCAUGAAGUCGGAAUCGCUAGUAAUCGUAGAUCAGAAUGCUACGGUGAAUACGUUCCCGGGCCUUGUACACACCGCCCGUCACACCAUGGGAGUGGGUUGCAAAAGAAGUAGGUAGCUUAACCUUCGGGAGGGCGCUUACCACUUUGUGAUUCAUGACUGGGGUGAAGUCGUAACAAGGUAACCGUA
Molecule: ribosomal RNA, 1504 nt
Filed under: bacterium enrichment culture clone SRC_DSB9
Lineage: Bacteria
Description: bacterial SSU rRNA
Rfam family: Bacterial small subunit ribosomal RNA
Source: RNAcentral